Molecule: long non-coding RNA, 290 nt
Filed under: Zonotrichia albicollis (white-throated sparrow)
Lineage: Eukaryota; Metazoa; Chordata; Aves; Passeriformes; Passerellidae
Description: lncRNA (ENSZALG00000005694.1)
Source: RNAcentral
GCUGCCACUCAGCCCCGGAGAGUCUCUCUCAGGAUCUGCUCUUCCUGUUUGUGGCAAAACAGCAAAGUCUGCUGCAGCUCUUGGCUGUGGUGUUUGCAACUGUCUCCUUUCUUUCUAUUGAGAAAGAUAAACUCACAAUUUCUUACAGCACUAUCUGUUUAACACACUCUCCUCUUGCUCCACAGCCUUUACCAGUCACAGCUUUCUGUAAGCACCCCCCAGUUCCUCACAGUAUCUCUCCUGGCCACCUGCAGCUGGCAGAGGCAGCUUCAACUAUGAUCAGUGCAUAA